Molecule: long non-coding RNA, 1520 nt
Filed under: Homo sapiens (human)
Lineage: Eukaryota; Metazoa; Chordata; Mammalia; Primates; Hominidae
Description: HSALNT0311135
Source: RNAcentral
GGAGGUGACUCUCUCAGGAGGUUGAAUAGGGUUAGAAAGACGGCAUGACUAUAUCUCUAAUGUAGACCUAAAGUGCUUCCUAGAGCUAGGGACCAGGAUUCUAAAUGAGACCUGAGGGAAUGGAGCUGUUGUUGACAAGAGCUGUUAGACAAACAGGACAUGGAGGAGGAGUGGUCAUGCAUACCUCAAUGGGACAAAGUAUCUCCUCUGAGACUUCAGAAAAUCCUUUUCUUCUGGAGCCACUCUGUUCUGGAUUACCCUGAGAUUUUAAUGAGAUAAAGUCUAGAGAUGUAUAUAACUUUUCUGCAUCAUUUUGGAAUUUUAAUGAGAUGAAACGAGACCCAGAGACACCUGUUCUAGACCACUUUGGGAUCUUAAUGAGGAUGCAAACAGGUUGAAGACAAGAGCUCUCUUUAAUGGAACCUGAACAGUGCCUAACUCCUGUAGAUAUUCACUGAAUGUUAAAUAACAACAGUGAUCAUGUAAUAAUGAUGCCCAAUUCACUUGGGAGAGAAUACCAAAUAGCUUGGAAUUUUCCUGUUACUGCCAGCAUGGCCUGAGAGCAUCCUGAGAGAGGUCAAAAGUCCGUCUGACUCACCUGUGCUGAGUGACUUGAAUGCCAUCUAAUCUAACUUCAAGGUCACAGUGUUUGGACACCGCAUGAACAUGCCAAUUUCCUGUGUUGUAAUAUUUUUAUGCACUUUAAGAAGACCACCAGAAACAGCAGAGUGAGUGAAUGACUGAGGCGCAUAUUGGACAAAAAUCACUUAUCCAAGACCACGUUACUACAACCCCAGGGCACAGAAGCUAAGUCUUCCUAUUGUACUGAACUCAGUUGACUGGAAUUUGUUCAGGAAAGCAUGAAGUCAAAUGGAAGCUAGUCCGUGACUGGAUUCAUCUUUUGGUAAAAAACGAAGAGGAGACCCCAUAUCCUGGAGGUUCUUGCUUAACCCUGUCCCUAAUAAGACCUAACUUUAUGAGUCUUCUCCUUAGAGGCAGUCCUAGGGUAAGAGUGAUUAUUCCUGUGAGCCUUGUAGGUACUUUCGAAUCAAGGAAAUUAGUAGUUGAUUGCUAAUUAAUUCAGUAUUUAAUGAAUUUAAGUACCUAGGCAAUGAGGCCACAAUAGCAAAUAAGACACAGACCUGUUUUCAAAAAGUAGCCUGUAAAUAAGAUAUUUUUUUCUGCCAUGGUGGCAAAGGCAUGACUAUGGUGAUGAACAUUCAUAGGCUCACCUUCUAGCUCUGUUGUAUGUUAACUGUGUGAACUUGGGUCAAGUUAUGAAAACUCUAAGAACUCUCAAAACUCCUGAUCUGUUUUAACAUGAAAGUAAAGAUAUCUAAUUGAAUUGUUGUGAAACUUAAAUGUAAUGUGACAUCCAAAGAAUGUAGCCCAAAGUUGGAUUUCAGUAAGUGAUAAAUAGAAGUAUUUAAACAUGGGUAUGGUAUGUUCUGUAACAGAAGAAUGUCUAUGUGCUGGGGAUACCUAGAGACAGUGAAAAUUCUGUCUGGCCUGCGAAUUAU